Molecule: long non-coding RNA, 2977 nt
Filed under: Homo sapiens (human)
Lineage: Eukaryota; Metazoa; Chordata; Mammalia; Primates; Hominidae
Description: non-protein coding lnc-MARCH3-3:1
Source: RNAcentral
AAGCAGAGGCGUUGGCGGCGUGAGGCUCAGGACUGUACAUCAGAGGAAGCCAAAAGCCAGCUGGAAUACUUCCUGAAUACAGUUUUAAUCUUGUUUGCAAUUAUUUCGAAGGGGAGAAAUCAUCUGGAUCAGAAUUAAGAUGCUCUGGUUUCAAGGAAAUAGCAUGCAACUUGCCAGAUCCUCCUUUGGACUCUUCUUGAGAAAUUGCUCUGCCUCUAAGACAACUCUGCCUGUGUUGACCUUAUUCACAAAGGAGUUUCUCAGCACAAGGUCUCUCUUUGCCUGCUGCCAUCCAUGUAAGAUGUGACUUGCUCCUCCUUGCCUUCCGCCAUCAUUAUGAGGCCUCCCCAGCCAUGUGGAACUGACCCAUGCCCCCUUUGUGAUGAAGCCAAGGAAGUACUCAAGCCUUAUGAAAACAGGCAACCCUACAAGGAUCAGAAGCUGCCAGGAACAAGGAGAAGACGCUCCCCUUCCUCACCUUCCCACCCCCACAUGGCUUCUCAGUCGGGGAAAAGAUACAACUUAACUUUAAACCAAGUCUUAAGUUUUGAUUAUGACAUGGGAUUAGAUGCACCAAAAACAAUUUCAAGUGACUGUGGGGCAUUCUAUUGCCUGAGAAUGUUCAAGAGUCCUGAUAUGACCUGUUGUUUUUAUCCUAAACAGUGAAAAAUUCAUCCACCAAAUAUAUAGGAAUAGAGGGAGACAGAAAGAUGCUUUCUGAAGGUAUCCCAUAUUUAGAGUAUUGGUUACAUAUACCUAAUGUUGGUUUUAACCUAUAGCUCUUCAAUAAACUUACUCAUCAAUUCUUAUUUCAGAGAGGAAUAUGGUCAUGUGACUAGGAAUCCUGCAGAUCUUCAGCAAACCCAUGGGUCCCAACAGCUGGCAAAAUGAAAGGUAGAUACCUACAAACAUGGCAUCUAAAAGGUGGUUUGAUUAUCCCACUGUCAAGUAUCAGUGUUAUGUCACCUAUUACUGUGAUUUUCAUGUGAUGUUUGUAGCAGCAAUUACUUUUCCUUUCUGAAAUUAUGUUUGCAAAGAUCAAUUUGUUUUUAUAUAAAGAUUAACUUUGAUAUAAGAAGCUCAUCAUUCACCUCCAAAGGAAAAGGUGAUACAAGCUUCCUUUUUUUCCCCCUUCAAGCUAAUGCCUUAUGAAGGAGUGGAAUAGUUUGGGACUUCAUAUUGCUGCUCUAGAAUAGUGCCUCUUUCUUCCACAUGUCUCUUCAUAACAUUAUGAGCUUACUGGAACACAUAGCUCUUUGGCCAGUUUAUUGCACGAAACAAGGGUAUACUCAGACUGGGGUUUUUUAAAUAAUGCAGCAAUCUCAUGGACAUCUGACAGUAGGAAUCACAAUACAGCCAGGCUUCAGAAGUACAAUUAAAGAACCACCCAAAACUGAAACAUCACCCUUCUCACAGUGCCUUGGCUUAUUUUCUUCCUUGUUCUCUCCUGGCUCACAGCUCCCCUGCUUACACACACUAUCUGCUUCCUCAUAGCUGCAGCCUGCUUAUGCCCAUCAUUACUGCUAACCUUUCUGUUCAGCAAUACAGCACCCUGAGCCUCUCAGGCUUCUCUAUUCUGAAAUCCUAAAAGGAAUUUUACUCAGCUUAUAUUUUACAACCAGGCACCCAUGACCUAAGUUGGCUGACCAAAUCUAUAGAAGGAGCCACCUUUAGGACAGAAGCCUAUCCCUGGGCCAACUGGCUAUGGAAGCGGUAUGCAAAUCACAGUCACUGCCCACUGGCAGAGGCCAGAAGCAGGACAGGCAAUGACCAGCAACUCUGGCACGCCUCCAAAAAGCUUAAGAAUGUGACAUUCUACCAUACUCAAGAGAAGUCAGGAGGGACACAUUGGUAAGUUCACUUAUAUCCUACUCCAUAGGAGUAAUAAGGACAUGAACCAAAGCAAUGGGAGUCAGACAGAAAGAGAUAUCAGGAGAUAUUUAGGAGUGAGGUUGACAAAACUUCAUGACUGACUGGAUGGGUCGGUAGUGAUGUGGAGAGGGGAGUAGAGAGAAAGCAUGGAUUCUGGGAUAACUCCCAGUUUUCUUGCUUACACUACUGGGUGAAUUCUGAUACUUUUUAUUCCCUGAGGCAGAGAAUGUAAGAGGAAGGAAAAGUUAGUUUUGGGCUGUGCUUGGUGGAUGGGAAAGGUAAGACAUGGUGAAUUCUCCAUGCUUGUGGGAUAUCAAGGUAAAGAUAAAAGUUAGAAGUGCAAAACAAAGGUCUGGGGUUAAGGUAUACAUUUGAGAGCCCACUGAGUAUGGUUGGAAAUGUGGCCACCUGGCAUAUAAGGAGAAAAGCAAGCUAUUCCCAAACCAUGGAGAAUACUAAUCUUGACCCAUGAGAAUAGAGGAAGUUGCUAGUGAAGGAAAAUGAGAGAGUGGUGGUGGAACUAGGAAUGGGAGAAGCUCAUCCAAUUUACAUUACGUGAUGCCUUUUGUGAUUUGAUAGUGGCAGGUAUUAUUCCAAGCACUGGGGAUAAAACAACAAACAAGAUAGCCAGGAUUCCUACUCUCAGAGUCUUGCAUUUUAAGGGAGAGACAGACAAUAAAGAUAUCGUAUCAGAGGAAAAUAAUCAUGAAAGUCAGGGAGGAGCUUUUCCCAGAGUAACUGACAGUAUCAAAUAGCAAGAGAGUUAGGAUGAGGACUGAACAGAAGACAUCAGAUUUGAAAAUUAGAAAAUCAGUGCUGCUAUAGGAAGAAUAGUCCCCAAAGAUACCCAGGUCCUAAUUCCUGGAACCUGUCACUUAUAUGCAUAAAGGACUUUGCAGAUUUAAGUUAAGGAUCUUGAGAUGGGAAAAUUAUAUUGCAUUAUCUAAGCAGGUCCUAAUGUAAUCACAGGUGUCUCUAUAAGAGGGAGUCAGAAGGAGAUUUGACUAGGGUAAAGAGAGUAGGAAAUUCGACAAUGGAAGCAAAAGGUUGGAGUGAUACAAGAAAGCAGCCAUGAGCCAAGGAAUGUGAAUGGCCUCCAGAAGCU